Molecule: ribosomal RNA, 212 nt
Filed under: uncultured eukaryote
Lineage: Eukaryota
Description: partial 18S ribosomal RNA
Rfam family: Eukaryotic small subunit ribosomal RNA
Source: RNAcentral
UCUGUGAUGCCCUUAGAUGUUCUGGGCCGCACGCGCGCUACACUGAUCAAGUCAACGAGUUUACAACCUUGGCCGGAAGGUCUGGGUAAUCUUUUGAAACUUGAUCGUGCUGGGGAUAGUCCAUUGCAAUUAUUGGACUUCAACGAGGAAUUCCUAGUAAGCGUGAGUCAUCAGCUCGCGUUGAUUACGUCCCUGCCCUUUGUACACACCGC